RNAcentral lists this ribosomal RNA (483 nucleotides) under uncultured bacterium. RNAcentral describes it as "partial 16S ribosomal RNA". It matches the Rfam family "Bacterial small subunit ribosomal RNA", at positions 30 to 507 of the family's 1533-position model. The record is from RNAcentral.
UUGAACGCUGGCGGCAGGCCUAACACAUGCAAGUCGAGCGGAUGAAGGGAGCUUGCUCCUGGAUUCAGCGGCGGACGGGUGAGUAAUGCCUAGGAAUCUGCCUGGUAGUGGGGGAUAACGUCCGGAAACGGGCGCUAAUACCGCAUACGUCCUGAGGGAGAAAGUGGGGGAUCUUCGGACCUCACGCUAUCAGAUGAGCCUAGGUCGGAUUAGCUAGUUGGUGGGGUAAAGGCCUACCAAGGCGACGAUCCGUAACUGGUCUGAGAGGAUGAUCAGUCACACUGGAACUGAGACACGGUCCAGACUCCUACGGGAGGCAGCAGUGGGUAAUAUUGGACAAUGGGCGAAAGCCUGAUCCAGCCAUGCCGCGUGUGUGAAGAAGGUCUUCGGAUUGUAAAGCACUUUAAGUUGGGAGGAAGGGCAGUAAGUUAAUACCUUGCUGUUUUGACGUUACCAACAGAAUAAGCACCGGCUAACUUCGUG